CUUGGUCAUUUAGAGGAAGUAAAAGUCGUAACAAGGUUUCCGUAGGUGAACCUGCGGAAGGAUCAUUAUCGAGUUUUGACUGGGUUGUAGCUGGCCUUCCGAGGCAUGUGCACGCCCUGCUCAUCCACUCUACACCUGUGCACUUACUGUGGGUAUCAGAUCGUGAAGCGUGCUCUUUUACCGGAGCUUGUGAAGCGUGUCUGUGCCUGCGUUUAUCACAAACACUAUAAAGUAUCAGAAUGUGUAUUACGGAUGUAACGCAUCUAUAUACAACUUUCAGCAACGGAUCUCUUGGCUCUCGCAUCGAUGAAGAACGCAGCGAAAUGCGAUAGGUAAUGUGAAUUGCAGAAUUCAGUGAAUCAUCGAAUCUUUGAACGCACCUUGCGCUCCUUGGUAUUCCGAGGAGCAUGCCUGUUUGAGUGUCAUGAAAUCUUCAACCUAUAAGCUUUUGUGGUUUGUAGGCUUGGACUUGGAGGCUUGUCGGCCUUGAUCUGUCGGCUCCUCUUAAAUGCAUUAGCUUGAUUCCUUGCGGAUCGGCUCUCGGUGUGAUAAUAUCUACGCCGCGACCGUGAAGCGUUUGGCGAGCUUCUAACCGUCUCACUUGAGAGACAACUUUAUGACCUCUGGCCUCAAAUCAGGUAGGACUACCCGCUGAACUUAAGCAUAUCAAUAAGCGGAGGA
Molecule: ribosomal RNA, 681 nt
Filed under: uncultured fungus
Lineage: Eukaryota; Fungi
Description: eukaryotic LSU rRNA
Rfam family: 5.8S ribosomal RNA (bases 272-425)
Source: RNAcentral